This 432-nucleotide ribosomal RNA is filed under the name uncultured Candidatus Solibacter sp. RNAcentral's name for it is "bacterial SSU rRNA". It matches the Rfam family "Bacterial small subunit ribosomal RNA", at positions 342 to 791 of the family's 1533-position model. The record is from RNAcentral. Lineage: Bacteria; Pseudomonadati; Acidobacteriota; Terriglobia; Bryobacterales; Solibacteraceae.
CGGGGGGCAGCAGUGGGGAAUAUUGCACAAUGGGGGAAACCCUGAUGCAGCGACGCCGCGUGAGCGAUGAAGCCCUUCGGGGUGUAAAGCUCUUUCGGCAGGGACGAUUAUGACGGUACCUGCAGAAGCAGCUGCGGCUAACUACGUGCCAGCAGCCGCGGUAAUACGUAGGCAGCAAGCGUUGUUCGGAAUUACUGGGCGUAAAGGGUGCGUAGGCGGCUUUUUAAGUUUGUCGUGAAAUCUCCCGGCUCAACCGGGAGGGUGCGGCGAAUACUGAGAAGCUAGAGUGUGGGAGAGGAAAGUGGAAUUCCUGGUGUAGCGGUGAAAUGCGUAGAUAUCAGGAGGAACACCGGUGGUGUAAACGGCUUUCUGGACCAUAACUGACGCUGAGGCACGAAAGCGUGGGUAGCAAACAGGAUUAGAUACCCGAGU